Molecule: ribosomal RNA, 273 nt
Filed under: uncultured bacterium
Lineage: Bacteria
Description: partial 16S ribosomal RNA
Rfam family: Bacterial small subunit ribosomal RNA
Source: RNAcentral
UACAGAGGGUGCAAGCGUUGUUCGGAAUUAUUGGGCGUAAAGCGCGUGUAGGCGGCGUGACAAGUCGGGUGUGAAAGCCCUCAGCUCAACUGAGGAAGUGCGCCCGAAACUGUCGUGCUUGAGUGCCGGAGAGGGUGGCGGAAUUCCCCAAGUAGAGGUGAAAUUCGUAGAUAUGGGGAGGAACACCGGUGGCGAAGGCGGCCACCUGGACGGUAACUGACGCUGAGACGCGAAAGCGUGGGGAGCAAACAGGAUUAGAUACCCCCGUAGUCC